Molecule: ribosomal RNA, 253 nt
Filed under: uncultured bacterium
Lineage: Bacteria
Description: partial 16S ribosomal RNA
Rfam family: Bacterial small subunit ribosomal RNA
Source: RNAcentral
UACAGAGGGGGCAAGCGUUGUUCGGAAUUACUGGGCGUAAAGGGCGCGUAGGCGGCCUUCUAAGUCGAACGUGAAAUCCCUGGGCUCAACCCAGGAACUGCGUCCGAUACUGGAAGGCUUGAAUCCGGGAGAGGGAUGCGGAAUUCCAGGUGUAGCGGUGAAAUGCGUAGAUAUCAGGAGGAACACCGAUGGCGAAGGCAGGUCUCUGGGCCACUACUGACGCUGAGAAGCGAAAGCAUGGGGAGCGAACAGG